CGUAGGGUGCAAGCGUUAAUCGGAAUUACUGGGCGUAAAGCGUGCGCAGGCGGUUAUGUAAGACAGAGGUGAAACUCCCCGGGCUCAACCUGGGAACUGCCUUUGUGACUGCAUAGCUAGAGUACGGCAGAGGGGGAUGGAAUUCCGCGUGUAGCAGUGAAAUGCGUAGAUAUGCGGAGGAACACCGAUGGCGAAGGCAAUCCCCUGGACCUGUACUGACGCUCAUGCACGAAAGCGUGGGGAGCAAACAGGAUUAGAUACCCUGGUAGUCCACGCCCUAAACGAUGUCAACUGGUUGUUGGGUCUUUACUGACUCAGUAACGAAGCUAACGCGUGAAGUUGACCGCCUGGGGAGUACGGCCGCAAGGUUG
RNAcentral lists this ribosomal RNA (371 nucleotides) under uncultured organism. RNAcentral's name for it is "bacterial SSU rRNA". It matches the Rfam family "Bacterial small subunit ribosomal RNA", at positions 526 to 896 of the family's 1533-position model. The record is from RNAcentral.